This is a transfer RNA of Beggiatoa alba B18LD, 73 nucleotides long. It matches the Rfam family "tRNA". From Rfam's summary of the family: Transfer RNA (tRNA) molecules are approximately 80 nucleotides in length. Their secondary structure includes four short double-helical elements and three loops (D, anti-codon, and T loops). Further hydrogen bonds mediate the characteristic L-shaped molecular structure. tRNAs have two regions of fundamental functional importance: the anti-codon, which is responsible for specific mRNA codon recognition, and the 3' end, to which the tRNAs corresponding amino acid is attached (by aminoacyl-tRNA synthetases). tRNAs cope with the degeneracy of the genetic code in two manners: having more than one tRNA (with a specific anti-codon) for a particular amino acid; and 'wobble' base-pairing, i.e. permitting non-standard base-pairing at the 3rd anti-codon position. NCBI's taxonomy places the organism in Bacteria, Pseudomonadati, Pseudomonadota, Gammaproteobacteria, Thiotrichales, Thiotrichaceae. The record is from Rfam.
GCCUUGGUAGCUCAGUGGAUAGAGCACUCCCCUCCUAAGGGAGUGGUCGCGGGUUCGACUCCCGCUCAGGGCA